UAAAUGGAAGGUUCUGUAACCAUGUAUUUCUGGAUCCAGAAAUGAAUUCUUAUGUGUAAGCGCUGUAUUUUUGUGACACCACAUUGUGUGAAGUGCACCUCUUACAAACUUUAACAAUGGUAUGACUUAGUGUUAUAAAACUCAUAAACAGGCGAGUGACGACAGUCAAACUCCUAGAACUCCUGAGAGGUGCUUCUCAGAAUUCCAGAUGCCCGAAGCUCCCCGACAGACAGUCAGCACCUGCUUCCCUCCCUGCCUUGGGCCCUGAGCUUUCGGGUGCUGGCCUUCCAUCUCCCACAAUCCUAGAUACCAUCCCCUGCCAUGCCCUCCUAGGAACAAUGCGAAAUGUUACUUAAAGGUUUCUGGAAUGUAGCUUUUUGACUUAGUGAGCCUGACCUUCUUCCAAAUCGGCCUGGAUUUGCAGAGGAUCACAAUUUAACUUACAACAAAAAUUUUAAAAGCACAGAAAUACAGAUAUGCCAGAUUAAAAGGAAGCCCGGGAUCUGGGCACAGGCCAUGGCCUCUCUUUGCAGGAAUAAAAGGAUCUGUGUUAUUUAUUGAAGUUUUCUGAGCUGGUUUUCCAUGUUUUGUUUGUCGUGUCCUUGAGGAACUGUGUUUGGAUCCUGGCUUUGUUUUGCGACCUCUGUUUUAUGGUUUCUGACUUUUAUCAGUGUCUGUGUAUGCAGUGUGUUUAUUUUGACAGUACCCUGUGGGACCUGGGGUACAGACUCAGUAUGUGCUGGUACUACAAGGGAUAACCACUGCCACCUUGUCUAUGAAUUGCAAUUCCCUCUAGCCCAGAGGGUCAAGCUUCUUUGACCUGGUUUGAAAAGGCGUUUAUAUAAAAUUUUAACAUUCUUACAUACUCCCACGAAGAAGGAGUUCCUUUAGUUUCUACUGGGUAGACUAUUCUUUAGCAAGUGUUCUGUGGUUUUGUGUCAUUCUGUAAGAUUUGUGCCUGGUGGGUCCAGAGAUGUUUUUGGGAUGGUGGGGGGAGAUGUGUGUGACUAUUUAUCACAUCCUUGGGACUUGUGGGCUUGUUCCACACUGUCUUGCUUUCCAGGUAGCUGGUUGAGAUUUAAGAUUUGGCUUAUUCUGCUCAGCUCCUUGGCCCCUUCCAGACCCUGACCAUUAACUCUGUAACGGUCCCCAUGCCUGUCUCCACUGGGUCUGUUCCUAGGGCUCCUGCAGGCCUCUCCCAAAGACACACUGAGCCUCUUUUCAUUUUAAAGGUUUUGCUUAUAAUCACUUCUGGAGGAUCCCAAAAGGUACACCUGAUUUUUUUUUGGAGAUUUUGGUGUGAAAACAUAAGCAAUACUGAAGUACAUCGAGUGAAAAGUUUCUCUCUAUAAGUUAAUUUGCUGGGCAGGAGGGUGUGCACCCUAAAAUUUUGAUAGAUACUAACAAAUACAUGAAGUUUGCCUUCCCAAGAUUUGUAGCUUUUGCACCAGCAGCCUGUGAAGGGUUCCUGCUCGGUUCCCAACCCUGGAGACAUCGUCAUAGAUGUUUACCGCGUCCAUAGGUGGAAAAAAAUAGCAUUUCAUGUGAAUUUGCAUUUCCCUGAUCACAAUGAGUUGAGUAUCUUCGUAUUCUAGGGUUUGCUUCUUUUCUGAGACAAACCACACCUCGCGGACGUCUUCCUGGCCGCUCAGGGGCAGGAAGCCCUGGGCCUCGCUGACAGCCUUCGGCCCCCGGACCGGAGGGGCCAGGACUGAGGGCCAGCGGGGCCGCGCGGGCCUCCCGCUCCCAUGUCGGCGGGGCAGGUGCAGCCCCCGCCUGCUCUCCUCCUGGACCCCAGACUCCGAGGCGGACGCCCACAAAGCUCCCCUCCUUCGCCUCCCGGCGUCUGCGCACCGCCUGGGCGCCCGGCCGAGCCCAGGCCGCGGAUGCACCUGCCUGCGGAGCCCGCUGCCCACGGCCCUCGGGUCAGCGCCCGGGGCCCGCCGGGGGGCCAGAGGGAGGGCCGCGCGGCCGAGAGCCCUUCUGACCCGCCUCGCUCCGCGGCCGCCCAGCGGACGUCCCCCGGGACGGAGCGACCGCAGAGGCAGCCGCCCGCUCGCCAUUCUGGGGCCGGAAGCCGAGCUGGAACCGCGACGCGGACCACGCGCAGCCUGCCCCGCGGGCAGAUGGCCGUGCGCAUGCGCAUGGCGGCGGGCAGCGGUUGCCAAGGUGACCGGAGCCCGGGCCGCCCCGCCCCCCGCGCCGCAGCCCUGCGGACAUGGCCGCGCCCACCGCCGGGGGUGAGGGGUCAGCUCCGGGUCGGGGUCGGCCAGGGGAGACCGGGGCCGGGGAUCAGGAGGUCCCGGGGUGAGGUGAUCCUGGGGAGCCGCCGCCGAGUGCCCGCCGGCCGGCCACGGAGGCGCGCGGACGCGGGGACGCACGGACGCGAGCCGGGCCGCAGCAUGUGGAAGCUGGGCCGCGGCCGGGUGCUGCUGGACGAGCCCCCGAGGAGGAGGACGGCCUGCGGGGGGGCCGCCGCCCGCCGCCGCCGCGCAGCUCUCUGCAUGCUGCUGUCCUGCUGUCCCUCACUUUGCUGUGAGAGCUUUGCUGCCUCCAGGAGCAGCCGAGCUUCUCUUCACAGAGCAGUGAGAAGGCGGGCCUGGGGUGCUGGCGCCGGUGUGCUGUGCUCUCAUGCUCGCUCUGGUGGUGGUGGUGCUGUCAGAAGCAGGAAGGAAGUGGAUGCACCCCAGUGCCUGUCUGGAGGAGAAGGCCGGACAGUGCCGUGUGUGAACUGCUGCUCUUUGCCACAGGGAGGGAGCUACCAGCAUGGUGCUGAGCAGAAAAUGCAAGUCCCAUACCAUGCAAGGGAACCUUGGGGCACUAGAUUCUUGGAAAAGAUAGUAUUCGUCUCACCCUGCUCCUCCUGCCUCACGGGACAAUGGAAAAGAGCCUGUGACCGUGAAGUUUGUGUUGGGAAGGAAGACAAGAUGGAAGGGAGCAGGAGGAAGAGAGGAGAGCCCUGGCAAGGAGGCCGAGUGGCCAGCAGCUGGCCUGGCUGGACCCAGAGGUCUGCAAGCCAAUGUCUGUGUGCGGACUUCAGGGGUGGUUUCAGGGUUCAUGUGACAGCCUCCCGCAUAGUUCCUAGCUCAGCCCAGGCCCCACGGACUCCCUGGUAAGGUCUAAUCCUUUGAGGGUUGUUCACUGGAAGGUGUGCACACUUCUUUCAUGAUCUCUGUACAGUUAUGCACAAGUCUGGAAUUUGAGAAUAAUCAUUUUUUUCUUUUAUUCCUAACCUAAGCCUCAUUGAAGUAUUGAUUAUCUGAUAACAUUUGUUUUUAUCAGCUUUUAUAUUCCCCUUGCUUUGAUUAAAGAGGAUAUUCAAAGGCUUUUUAGGAAGUAGAUAGCAGUAGAUGGAAUUUUCCAUUGGCUUCUGGCAACGGCUUAAGUUCAUCUAGCUGAAGUAUUUCUAGCAACAGAAUCCCCAAAUUUUGCAUUUUGGUUGGUAAAGUAAUGGUUUGUGUUUCUUCAUCGAGAUUGAUUUUUCCAGCUUUUCACAGAGGGAAAUUUUAAGCAUCUUUGUUUUAGUCCGUUCUGGCUGCUCUGACAAAAGAGCACAGCCUGGUGGCUUAAACAACCGAAAUUCAUUUCUCACAGUUCUGGUGAGGGCCCUCUUCUGGGCUGCAGACUUCUCACUGUGGCUGUGUCCUCACAUGGGGAAGGGGCGAGGGAGCUCUCUGGGGUCUCUCUUAUAAAGGCACUAAUCCCAUCCUGGGGGCUCCACCCUCAUGACCUGCUCACCUCCCUCAGGCUCCACCUCCUAACACCAUCACGUGGGGUUAGAUUUCAACGUGUGAGUUGUGGGGACACAGAGGUUCAGACCCCAGUGAACUUGAGCACUGUGAAGACUGUGUUCCUCCUCCCGACCCUCUCCCCGCUGAGCAUCACAGGAUGGCUGCAUAAUGACCUGCUAUUAAGCUGAUGAGGACUUAACAGGUGUGCAUGGAUUGGUACAGAAGAGUUAAUGCACUUAAUUGGAUUAGUCCUUUCAUACUUGGCAAACCUGUGGAACAAAAGAGUGCUUGUAUCCAGGAGGCUGCAGCCAGGCUGCUUUCCGCCUGUGGGUGCUUGUGGUACGUGGGCAGUGUGUGGGGUUUUGAUUUUAGAUUACUGAAGUAAUCCACGUGUAUUAGCUAAUAUGUUUGUUUUCAUCAGGCAUACAAGAUUAUAAGAAGGUUAUAAUUUAUAUUGGUUACCUAGGUUGAAUAUUAAGUUGUCACUUAAGAACGUUAAUUUUUAUCUUAAUGAAAUACUGUUAAAAAAUUUGGUGUGGGAAGUAAAAAUUUCCUUUUCCCCACUCUCCAGAUCCUACUCUGAGUAAUUAACACUGUUAAUAUACAAUUAAAUAGAUAUUUUAAAAGGACAUAAGGUGGAAGUUUUUCAGAAUGAGAAAUGAUUAAAAAUGCAGCUUAAAAGCUCUGAAAGAAUUUAUUAAGCUUGGGUUGUGACAUGUGCCUAAACAAAGAACACAGGUUCAUUGGUCUUAAUGAGUGUCUUGUCACUAUCUUCGAGUGCCCGUUUUUGGUGUGUUAGAAUUUCAGCAUUGCCAAGAGCUUUACAUUGACUGUUCUGAAAUAAACGGUAGAGCACAAAGAAAUCAGUUAAUUCAGAGUGUAAAUUGGCUACACUUGCAGGCAUCGACAGGUCACGUGUGGCUAAAGAGAUGCCUUGUUACUCCGGAAACUACCUGGAUAUUCAGCACAGGUGAUGGAUUAAGUGUGUGUGUGUUGAUUCCGGGUGUGUGGCGGAGCCCUGGAUCCACUGCUCUGAGCGCCUGCUCCCUGGAGAGACCUCGAUUCUUACCUCCUCUGGUAGGUGAAUCUGUUAGGGACGCUGCCCUCGCUGACUUCUUUCCGGCUUCCAGACUCUUUGAAUAAACACUUCACUGUUGCCUCCCAAAGUUAUACAAAAGAAAGAAAACUAAAGGAGAAGAGGAACCUAUCACCUAAAAUGCCAUGUCUCGAGCAUGUCAAGGGAAACCGGAGGAUGCCUGUGCAGCUGCUGGGCCUUUCUGGGCCAGUCCCCUGUGUCUUAAAGAUGUCUUUUACAGAAAUGCGGGGGAGAACAACUGGAGCACCAUGGCCGGCUGCUGGCAGCCCUAACCCACCGUGAUGGUGUUGGGAGGUGGAGACCCCGUGAUGGGAUUAGUGCCCUUGGAAGAAGCGGCACAGGAGAGCUUGCUCCCGUCUCUGCUCUCCCCUGCGAGGACGCAGAGAAGAUGGCCAUCGAUGAACCAGGAAAUGGACUCUCACCAGAAACCAGAUCUGCUGGCACCUUGAUCUCGGACUUCCUGCCUCCAGAAAUGUGAGAAAUAAAUGUUUAAGCCGCCCAUCUGUGGUACAUUUGUUAUAACAGCCCAGACUGACUGGACACAUGGUAUAAAAUUUACAGUGUGCAAGAGGGUACACAGUAAGACUCCUUUUAUUUCUAUCUGCCAGCCGCCUGGUUCUCUGCAGUUAAUUAACAGUCUUGCUCAUCCUUCUGGAGAUAAGGGUAUGCAUAUAAAACGUAUAAAUAUAGAAAAUAUACACAAAUAUAUAAAAAUAUAAAUUUACAUAAAUAUGUAAAUGUAAUCAGUAUAUAAAAUGGAUAUAUGUGUGUGUCUUUCUAUACUUACAGGUGGAGCACGUGAUAUGGACUGUUGUUGGCACCUUGCGGUCUCGAUCUUUUGGUGGUUUUAUGUUGGUCACUGUGACCCUUUCUAACCCAGCCUCCGUAUGCUUAGGCAUGGGUGUCCCACGUGCUGAGCCCCAUGCUGACGGGCAUUCAGUGUCUGCGCUCUGGGACUGCAAAGUGCGUUUCCUUGCUUAUGGCCUUUUUGGACACGAAGACACGCUUUGCUCUGAAUCACGGACAUUUCUCUUCCCUUCCAUUAGCAUGGAUUAUUUAGAGUUGACUGUCAAAUGAUUAGGAUAUUUAAAAGAAAAGAUAUAAACAUGUUGAGCAAGUGACCAAAUAAGGUACAUAACCACAGUUUAAUUGGCGGUUGAUCACAAAUAUUCUUUUUUUUUUAAAGAUUGGCACCUGAGCUAACAUCUGUUGCCAGUCUUUGUCUUUUUUCCUUCUUCUUCUCCCCAGAGCCCCCCACACAUGUUCUUUCACAUUUUAGGAACCACUGCAUGUGUCUACUACUGUCAGCAAAUGCAGUUAUAGUGCUGUGCACUCCAGAAUGAGCGCCACAUCCAUUAUCACUCCUCUUGCUCUGUGGUUAUGAGUCACUUUGACUUGUAUGUUCCCUACUGAGGAGCAUUUCCACAGAAUGUUAUUUAAGGCAAACCAUGUGAAGCAUUAGCUGUUUCUCCACUUAAUCUAGCGAGUUUUUGAAGAGUUUAUUGCUGUGUGCCUGCCAACCUGGAAAAAUUAAAACUAUCAGCUGGAUGGAUUCAAGCCACACCCGGCCCGGGGAGGCCUGCCUGGUCCCCAGCGCAGCCUCUGUUCUGGGUUUAACCUGGAAAACGUGGAGGCCCUCUGUGCUCCUGGCCUUGAUUCUCUGGUAGAGUAACUGAUGUGUGUCCCUUUUGUUGGACGGAGGGAAAGUCACAGGAACAUGGAUAAGCCAGAGUCCUCUGCUUCUCUCUUACCAACCCCGAGGGCUGGACGGCCCUGGGCCCUCAUUACCCGCAUAAUCCCAGCAGAUGUUGGGCUGCUCAUCUUUGUGUCUGCCUUUGUUUCUGCAUAUGCCUGAAGUGCAACUGUACUCUUUGAAUGGUUGUUUGAGUAAGACAGUAGGGACAGGCAUGGUUCAGGAGGAGGGGUGCCGCUCUUGGCUUUGUGCUGGCCCACUUCCUCCUUUAUACCUGGAAGGCUGGCGACUCCUCUCUCGCCCUCCUUGGAGCCUCCGAGUUUCUUAUUUUCUUGUCUGUGAGAUCAGGAGUCGGGGGACCACUUUCACCUAAGGCCUUAUCCACUCAGGGUUCUGUGCGCUGGUGAAGGCCCCAUCAGAAUUUUCCCUGUAGCCUGAUGGCUCUCGUCUGAUAAGAGGGCCUGGGAUUUGGUUUCAAAGCUUGGCCUAGAGGCCGGAACUGGGUUAUGGAGUCAGUUUUCUCUAGGAUUACUAGUUUCUUAGUAACUUUAGAGUGUUUAAACAUAAGAUUAUCGUGAGUUCUAAAGUUUAGGACAGUUAGGAAGAAAAUUAGCUUUUUUAUUACAUCAUAGUGAAACCUUAGCCUGGCCGUGGCUCUCUACAGUUUUCCUGAGACACACCAGGCUGAGCCAGUUCUUGUGCUGGACACUGGUGGGAGUGCCUGUGUCUCCUCUCUGGCUUGGAAGUGAGGCCCUACAGUAACUGCCAUCUUCACAUCUUCAGGCAGAGCAAGGAUGGGGAGGCCAAGGAGGCUUUGGGGAGGCUCCCGUAGCCCCCCGUCACCAGUCACCGCAACACUGCACAACCCGAGUGCUUUUCACCUGGAGGAGCUUCAGGACGUAUCUUAACCCCUCCUUGCAGGCAUAGUGCCCACCGUAAGCCCCUUCUACAGAAAAACCCUGGAGUUAUGGAUCUGCCGUUGAUGCGGGGUCGGUAAGCGGAGUCGUCGAAAGGAAGAUUUCUUGGACUCUCAAGAUCUGGCAGUAGUGCUCUUUUAUUUAGAGAAUAGUGUGGAAUAGCAUGGGGACAGGACCC
Equus caballus (horse) is the source of this 7615-nucleotide non-coding RNA. The record is from RefSeq and is a predicted model, not a curated record. NCBI's taxonomy places the organism in Eukaryota, Metazoa, Chordata, Mammalia, Perissodactyla, Equidae.